UGGGGAAUAUUGGACAAUGGGCGAAAGCCUGAUCCAGCAAUGCCGCGUGAGUGAUGAAGGCCUUAGGGUUGUAAAGCUCUUUUACCCGGGAUGAUACUGACGGUACCGCUAAAGGAAGCCCCGGCUAACUCCGUGCCAGCAGCCGCGGUAAUACGGGGGGGGCAAGCGUUGUUCGGAAUUACUGGGCGUAAAGGGCUCGUAGGUGGCCAAUUAAGUCAGACGUGAAAUCCCCAGGCUCAACUUGGGAACUGCGUCUGAUACUGGUUGGCUUGAAUUCGGGAGAGGGAUGCAGAAUUCCAGGUGUAGCGGUGAAAUGCGUAGAUAUCUGGAGGAAUACCGGUGGCGAAGGCGGCAUCCUGGACCGAGAUUGACACUGAUGAGCGAAAGCCAGGGGAGCAAA
This 400-nucleotide ribosomal RNA is filed under the name uncultured bacterium. RNAcentral describes it as "bacterial SSU rRNA". It matches the Rfam family "Bacterial small subunit ribosomal RNA", at positions 355 to 772 of the family's 1533-position model. The record is from RNAcentral.